RNAcentral lists this non-coding RNA (226 nucleotides) under Aerococcus viridans. RNAcentral describes it as "T-box sequence". It matches the Rfam family "T-box leader". Rfam says of the family: Uncharged tRNA acts as the effector for transcription antitermination of genes in the T-box leader family. T-boxes are found upstream of many aminoacyl-tRNA synthetase genes and some amino acid biosynthetic genes usually in Gram-positive bacteria. The record is from RNAcentral. Lineage: Bacteria; Bacillati; Bacillota; Bacilli; Lactobacillales; Aerococcaceae.
AUUAAAUCAUAGAAGCAAAGAGUAACAAGGGUACUGACUAAAGCGAGUAGACGAUUGGUGGAAGGUCUAUGUCAGGAGAAUUGUGAACCGCAUUGCUGAGAUAAUUGAGUGAAGUAAGUUAAUCAGAUAUAAAAGUAGCUCAAUUCGUUAGGCGCGUUAAGUCAUCAAGCGUUGAUGUAUUUUUGUCAGCAGUAGAGUGGUACCGUGGAUAUUAACCGCCUCUUCA